GAAGGCAGCAAAUUUUCUCAAUUAUAAUAUAAAACUUACUGAAUAGCGUAAAUAUGUGUUUACAAAAAAAUUCGAUAUUUUCUUUUGUUCUUGAAGAACAAGAAUAUGUAGGAUAAAAAAAUCUAUACGUUUUAGAAAUCAGUCACAAACAGUAGAGGGUCACUACUUGAUAAGGCAAUGGGUAUAAUUAGUAAAACUCUUUGAAGCCCCCCUUUGAGUGUACAAC
Molecule: long non-coding RNA, 226 nt
Filed under: Mytilus galloprovincialis (Mediterranean mussel)
Lineage: Eukaryota; Metazoa; Mollusca; Bivalvia; Mytilida; Mytilidae
Source: RNAcentral